Astatotilapia calliptera (eastern happy) is the source of this 1611-nucleotide long non-coding RNA. Lineage: Eukaryota; Metazoa; Chordata; Actinopteri; Cichliformes; Cichlidae. The record is from Ensembl.
GUUUGGAGGCCUAUCUCCCCCUACCACCACUCCCCCUGCCAGUGGCGGACUCCCUCAGACAUCGGUGCGUUGGUGGUUCUUUGUGUCUGGGGAUGGGCGUCCAGGUACACGCCGGCUCACUCCUUGGCGGCCGCUUAUCGGGGCCUGGAGCCUGGGGCUCGCUCGGGCCACUUCGGAGGUGGGGUGCCCCCGGCCUCUCGGCCUGGGGCUCGGUCACUCAGGCACAGCUGGCUGCCGGCGGAGCUCACGGGCGCGUCACUGCAACUCCCCCUGGCUUCUGCUCCGCGGCUGCUGAGUGAGCCCUCAUCUGGGACUCUCCUCAGCUCUUUCUGGGACAGUGGCGCGGCUGCCCCUCUGUUGGUCUUCCUUGGUCUCUUGUGUUCUGGGGGCCUCUGGAUGUCUGGAGUUUUGAUCUCCUCCAUACCUGCUUCAUGCCCUGGAGGACGGGGCUGUGGCCCCCCCACACCCUCUAGCAGAUCAUUACAUGAAGGAACCUUUGGAAUGCAAGCAUGCUUGUUCUAAAGGCUCACCUUCUAGCACAUUCACUUCACCAGAUGCACCUUGUUUCUUUUCCUCACCUUUGAUUGGGUGUGGUGCUUGGCCUUAAUUGCACUCACCUGUCACUCGUUAUAUGAGGACUGCACUCACCUACCCCUCACUCUUUCUUCACUCCCACAUGGGGCGGCAGCUGAGAGAGAGCAGUCCAUGUGUGUCUUUCUUUCCUUUACCUGUUAUACAAUAAAACGACAAAACCUGCAAAUGAUGACUGCUUAUUCUCAUUCUAAUCCGAUGAGCCCAUGAUGAUGACUACUGAAACCCUGAACCUUCCUUCCUCCAAAACAAUGCUGAUCCACACAGGUAUGCACACAGGUGUACACACGGGUAUUCACAGACGCGGACUACAGCUUUCUUGGCUGCUGCCUCAAAGCACAUUGUACGCUGUCUAUCUUGCGUGCUGCACAAUAUCGUUUAUUAUUUAGUAUCUACUGAUAUCUACUGCUAGCUAGUUUAUUGUGAUGGUGCUUUUCUUUUUAUUAUGUUGCUCUUUGUUGUUUGCUUUCUCUUCUGUUUUUUUUUUUCUCCAUACAGGUGAUCCAGGUGUUUUGUUUGUUUUGUUUUUUUUCUUUCUUCCCCCCCUUCUCACCGUCUCUUCUCCCCUCUGGUUUUCUUUCUCUCCCUCUCUUUCUUUCAUUCUUUCUCCCUGUCCUAUCCCCCAGUCAUGUCUGUCCCGUUUGUAGCAACUGAAAAUAAAAUAAAUUCAUAAUUAUAAUAAAGGUCAAUCAAAUGGACCAAUAUGGCAAGGCCAUGAUGAUCCACUUGGUAAAAUAAAUCCGCUUGGCAUCUUUCUUGGCCUUAAGACAACAAUUCUGAUGCUAAAGAUCCAAACAGGACACAAAAAAAAAAAAAAAAGAAAAAAAAAAGAAGUUUGAAGAGCAUCUUGAUUUUUGGUCUUUGGAUAUUAACAGUCCCAAGUAUGUGACUUCUUGUUUAACAGAGAUAUUACAGAUAGUAUUUGCAGGGCAGUCUUUAAUUGCUAGUAACUCACACUUUUUAAGAUUUAGGCAUAAACCAGAGGCCUCAGAGAAAUCACUAAUCACAGUAAGGGCUGGA